Molecule: ribosomal RNA, 969 nt
Filed under: Triticum aestivum (bread wheat)
Lineage: Eukaryota; Viridiplantae; Streptophyta; Magnoliopsida; Poales; Poaceae
Description: partial small subunit ribosomal RNA
Source: RNAcentral
AUGAAGAUGUGGCGGCGGCUUGAGGGAAUUAGGCGGCGGAGGCCUGGGGACGACAUGGCGGUGGAUGUGACUGGAUGGCUGGAGGCCUUCGCCCACCACCCACACAUCGGAACCACCUCCCGCGUCGUCUCCAAGUCCGUUAGUUCUUCUUCUGCCUGUUGGUCUCUGUUAGUUCGUCACUCCAUCAUCAGGCCAUCAGUCAUCAGUCAUCACUACAGAUGGAGCAAAGAUGAGCAUUCAGUUGUACUUUCCACAUCCACUGAUUCCACCAUGCAGGUGCACAAAAAGUUAUGUCAUCCAAUGCACAUAAUUAGUCAGAAGAGGGAGCUUUAUGAUGCAGGAUGCAACCGAAACUCCAUCUUUAAGAUGCCUGAUGAAAAGUUUCCUUCUCAUGAUUUGCUUGAAUACGGAAAUAAGAAGCAUUUGCGUCUUUGGCAGCCAACCUUUGUAGACUGGAUCGUUGUUGUAUGUGCCACAAUUCCCUCCACGGAACACAAGCCAAGGAUGAGUCGGUUGGGCAUCUGUUCAACGUGUGUCCUUUCACUAAGGAAGUUUGGCAACUCAGAGGCUGCAAGCAUCCUGGCUUGGUGCCCAUUGCAUUCUUCAGGCCGGGACCAUUUCUCCCUUUGCUUUACUGCUUUGUUUCCUGUCUUAAGGACAAAAGUUGCGUCAUCAUAUGUCGCUUGGCAUAUCUGGAACGAGCGCAAGAUAGAUUUAUCGUAUCAAAACUGCAGACUUAAGAAGAUGCGUUAUUGCCAUGCGAUGGAAAUUUGCAUGGAACUGAAGUUCAAGUUGGGUCAGAAAGGCUCUAAAAAUUGUGGUCUUCAGCAAUCCUAUUGCUUUCAAAGCGGACACACAUGGAUGUGCCUGUCGAGAAGGAGUGCUCGAGAUUGCCUCUAUUUUGGUGAAGGUGCAGUUGUGCGCCUUCACCCAAUAGCAAGGUUACUCUGCAUAAGCGCUGAAGAAUAA